UCACUACUUGCGUAGGCAGUCUCUUUAGAGUGCCCGGCAUUAUCCGGUAGCAACUAAAGACAAGGGUUGCGCUCGUUGCGGGACUUAACCCAACACCUCACGGCACGAGCUGACGACAGCCAUGCAGCACCUGUUUAAGCUCUCCUUGCGGAACGCCGACUUUCAUCGGCCUUAGCUUAUAUGUCAAGCCCAGGUAAGGUUCUUCGCGUUGCAUCGAAUUGAACCACAUGCUCCACUGCUUGUGCGGGCCCCCGUCAAUUCCUUUGAGUUUCAACCUUGCGAUCGUACUCCCCAGGUGGAAUACUUAAUGCGUUAGCUGCGACACUGAGUUUAACCCCAACGUCUAGUAUUCAUCGUUUAAGGCGUGGACUAC
This 373-nucleotide unclassified non-coding RNA is filed under the name uncultured Ignavibacteria bacterium. RNAcentral's name for it is "contains 16S-23S intergenic spacer region". The record is from RNAcentral. Lineage: Bacteria; Pseudomonadati; Ignavibacteriota; Ignavibacteria.